GCCCUUAGAGUUUGAUCCUGGCUCAGGACGAACGCUGGCGGCGCGCCUAACACAUGCAAGUCGAACGGAGCUUAGAGAGCUUGCUUUUUAAGCUUAGUGGCGAACGGGUGAGUAACGCGUGAGUAACCUGCCCUAGAGUGGGGGACAACAGUUGGAAACGACUGCUAAUACCGCAUAAGCCCACGGUACCGCAUGGUACUGAGGGAAAAGGAUUUAUUCGCUUUAGGAUGGACUCGCGUCCAAUUAGCUAGUUGGUGAGGUAACGGCCCACCAAGGCGACGAUUGGUAGCCGGACUGAGAGGUUGAACGGCCACAUUGGGACUGAGACACGGCCCAGACUCCUACGGGAGGCAGCAGUGGGGGAUAUUGCACAAUGGGGGAAACCCUGAUGCAGCGACGCCGCGUGGAGGAAGAAGGUUUUCGGAUUGUAAACUCCUGUCGUUAGGGACGAUAAUGACGGUACCUAACAAGAAAGCACCGGCUAACUACGUGCCAGCAGCCGCGGUAAAACGUAGGGUGCAAGCGUUGUCCGGAAUUACUGGGUGUAAAGGGAGCGCAGGCGGGAAGACAAGUUGGAAGUGAAAACCAUGGGCUCAACCCAUGAAUUGCUUUCAAAACUGUUUUUCUUGAGUAGUGCAGAGGUAGAUGGAAUUCCCGGUGUAGCGGUGGAAUGCGUAGAUAUCGGGAGGAACACCAGUGGCGAAGGCGGUCUACUGGGCACCAACUGACGCUGAGGCUCGAAAGCAUGGGUAGCAAACAGGAUUAGAUACCCUGGUAGUCCAUGCCGUAAACGAUGAUUACUAGGUGUUGGGGGAUUGACCCCCUCAGUGCCGCAGUUAACACAAUAAGUAAUCCACCUGGGGAGUACGACCGCAAGGUUG
This 881-nucleotide ribosomal RNA is filed under the name uncultured bacterium. RNAcentral's name for it is "bacterial SSU rRNA". It matches the Rfam family "Bacterial small subunit ribosomal RNA", at positions 1 to 896 of the family's 1533-position model. The record is from RNAcentral.